Non-coding RNA from Bos taurus (domestic cattle), 72 nucleotides. Lineage: Eukaryota; Metazoa; Chordata; Mammalia; Artiodactyla; Bovidae. The record is from Rfam.
UCCCUGGUGGCUCAGAUGGUAAAGCGUCUGCCUGCAAUGCGGAAGACCCGGGUUCGAUCGCUGGGUUGGGAA